RNAcentral lists this ribosomal RNA (296 nucleotides) under uncultured bacterium. RNAcentral describes it as "partial 16S ribosomal RNA". It matches the Rfam family "Bacterial small subunit ribosomal RNA", at positions 334 to 646 of the family's 1533-position model. The record is from RNAcentral.
UUUGCCUACGGGGCGCAGCAGUGGGGAAUAUUGCACAAUGGGAGGAACCCUGAUGCAGCGACGCCGCGUGGGUGAAGGAGCGUUUCGGCGCGUAAAGCCCUAUCGGCAGGGAAGAAGGAGGACGGUACCUGACUAAGAAGCCCCGGCUAACUACGUGCCGGCAGCCGCGGUAAUACGUAGGGGGCAAGCGUUAUCCGGAUUUACUGGGGGUAAAGGGAGCGCAGACGGCAGCGCAAGCCAGGAGUGAAAGCCCGGGGCCCAACCCCGGGACUGCUCUUGGAACUGCGCGGCUGGAG